This 450-nucleotide ribosomal RNA is filed under the name uncultured bacterium. Its description in RNAcentral is "partial 16S ribosomal RNA". It matches the Rfam family "Bacterial small subunit ribosomal RNA", at positions 354 to 796 of the family's 1533-position model. The record is from RNAcentral.
GUGGGGAAUAUUGGACAAUGGGCGAAAGCCUGAUCCAGCCAUGCCGCGUGUGUGAAGAAGGUCUUCGGAUUGUAAAGCACUUUAAGUUGGGAGGAAGGGCAGUAAGUUAAUACCUUGCUGUUUUGACGUUACCGACAGAAUAAGCACCGGCUAACUUCGUGCCAGCAGCCGCGGUAAUACGAAGGGUGCAAGCGUUAAUCGGAAUUACUGGGCGUAAAGCGCGCGUAGGUGGUUUUGUAAGUUGGAGGUGAAAUCCCCGGGCUCAACCUGGGAACUGCCUCCAAAACUGCAUGACUAGAGUACGGUAGAGGGUAGUGGAAUUUCCUGUGUAGCGGUGAAAUGCGUAGAUAUAGGAAGGAACACCAGUGGCGAAGGCGACUACCUGGACUGAUACUGACACUGAGGUGCGAAAGCGUGGGGAGCAGACAGGAUUAGAUACCCGAGUAGUCC